Molecule: ribosomal RNA, 557 nt
Filed under: uncultured bacterium
Lineage: Bacteria
Description: bacterial SSU rRNA
Rfam family: Bacterial small subunit ribosomal RNA
Source: RNAcentral
CCUACGGGAGGCAGCAGUGGGGAAUCUUGCACAAUGGAGGAAACUCUGAUGCAGCGAUGCCGCGUGAGUGAAGAAGGCCUUUGGGUUGUAAAGCUCUUUUGUAGGGGAAGAUAAUGACUGUACCCUAAGAAUAAGGUCCGGCUAACUUCGUGCCAGCAGCCGCGGUAAUACGAAGGGGCCUAGCGUAGUUCGGAAUUACUGGGCGUAAAGCGCGCGUAGGCCGUUGAGUUAGUUAAUUGUGAAAUCCCAAAGCUUAACUUUGGAACUGCAAUUAAAACUGCUCGACUAGAGUUUGAUAGAGGAAAGCGGAAUACAUAGUGUAGAGGUGAAAUUCGUAGAUAUUAUGUAGAACACCAGUUGCGAAGGCGGCUUUCUGGAUCAACACUGACGCUGAGGCGCGAAAGUAUGGGUAGCAAAGAGGAUUAGAUACCCUCGUAGUCCAUACCAUAAACGAUGAUUGCUAGAUGUUGGAAAUUUAUUUUCAGUAUCGCAACUAACGCAUUAAGCAAUCCGCCUGGGGAGUACGACCGCAAGGUUAAACUUAAAUGAAUUGACGG